AGCAGCCGCGGUAAUUCCAGCUCCAAUAGCGUAUAUUAAAGUUGUUGCAGUUAAAAAGCUCGUAGUUGAAUUUCGGGAUCAAUACGUCGGUCGUGCUUAGGUACGUACUGGCGUAAUUGAUUUCUCCCUCCUGACGAACCAUGAUGUCAUUAACUUGGUGUCAUGGGAAAUCAGGACUGUUACUUUAGAAAAAAUUAGAGUAGUUUAAAGCAGGCUCACGCUUGAAUACAUUAGCAUGGAAUAAUAGAAAUAGGACGUUCGAUCCUAUUUUGUUGGUUUUAGGAUCAACGUAAUGAUUAAUAGGGAUAGUUGGGGGCAUUAGUAUUCAAUUGUCAGAGGUGAAAUUCUUGGAUUUAUUGAAGACUAACUACUGCGAAAGCAUUUGCCAAGGAUGUUUUCAUUAAUCAAGAACGAAAGUUAGGGGAUCGAAGACGAUCAGGUACCGUCGUAGUCUUAACCAUAAACUAAUGCCGACUAGGAUCGGAUGAUGUUAAUUUUUAAUUAGACUCAUUCGGCGCCU
This 520-nucleotide ribosomal RNA is filed under the name uncultured Glomus. RNAcentral describes it as "SSU rRNA". It matches the Rfam family "Eukaryotic small subunit ribosomal RNA", at positions 569 to 1088 of the family's 1831-position model. Lineage: Eukaryota; Fungi; Glomeromycota; Glomeromycetes; Glomerales; Glomeraceae. The record is from RNAcentral.